Molecule: unclassified non-coding RNA, 229 nt
Filed under: plant metagenome
Description: partial contains small subunit ribosomal RNA, internal transcribed spacer 1, and 5.8S ribosomal RNA
Source: RNAcentral
UCUCCGUAGGUGAACCUGCGGAGGGAUCAUUACAGAGUUCAUGCCCUACCGGGUAGAUCUCCUACCCUAUGUUAUUAUUACUUUGUUGCUUUGGCGGGCCGUUAGGCUCCGGCCCGACUACCGGCCCCGGCUGGUAAGCGCCCGCCAGAGGACCCAAAACCCUGAAUAUUAGUGUCGUCUGAGUACUAUAUAAUAGUUAAAACUUUCAACAACGGAUCUCUUGGUUCUG